UCGCCAGACUCCUACGGGAGGCAGCAGUGAGGAAUAUUGGUCAAUGGGCGCGAGCCUGAACCAGCCAAGUAGCGUGAAGGAUGACUGCCCUACGGGUUGUAAACUUCUUUUAUAAAGGAAUAAAGUGAGGCACGUGUGCCUUUUUGUAUGUACUUUAUGAAUAAGGAUCGGCUAACUCCGUGCCAGCAGCCGCGGUAAUACGGAGGAUCCGAGCGUUAUCCGGAUUUAUUGGGUUUAAAGGGAGCGUAGGUGGAUUGUUAAGUCAGUUGUGAAAGUUUGCGGCUCAACCGUAAAAUUGCAGUUGAAACUGGCAGUCUUGAGUACAGUAGAGGUGGGCGGAAUUCGUGGUGUAGCGGUGAAAUGCGUAGAUAUAAGGAAGAACACCAGUGGCGAAGGCGGAUGACUGGACGGCAACUGACGGUGAGGCGCGAAAGCGUGGGGAGCAAACAGGAUUAGAUACCCUGGUA
RNAcentral lists this ribosomal RNA (467 nucleotides) under uncultured bacterium. Its description in RNAcentral is "bacterial SSU rRNA". It matches the Rfam family "Bacterial small subunit ribosomal RNA", at positions 328 to 792 of the family's 1533-position model. The record is from RNAcentral.